UGUGAGGGAAAUUAUGACAUACAAUUAAAUUAUAUGCUUAUAUCAAACAUAUACUAUUUUUCAUAUUAAUGGAUAGAACUUAUUAAUACAAAAUAAAGUGGAUAAACAUCUUCUACCAAAAAAAAAAAAAAUAGAUAAACAUCUUUAAUAGCCACCGACAAAUUGACUUGAUACGAAUGUUGAUUCGUACAUGUUCCUGUUACAAGCGCCUAACACAUACAACGAAGGAUGGUUUAAUCAAAUCAUGUCAAGGUAUAUUAGUAGUAGAAAAAAUAUUUAAAUUUAGUCGUAUAUUCACACUUAGUAAAAUAUUGAACAUAUUGCACAUUUAAAUAGUUCAAAAGACACUAACACAUAUACAUAGCACCAAUAUGGUUAAGGAGACAUAAACAUAUCAAAAUGUACACUAAUAUACUUCAGGCUUAAUGAUGUGUUUCGUCCUUACAAUUAGGCGUCAUUUAAAAAUUAGUCUCUGUAAUCGCUAAUCCUGGCAAUUUACCCUUGCAUUGUUUAAUCAUUUAAAAUUUCGUCCUUUGACCAACUUAAUCACUACCAAAUCAUCAAAUUAGCAAAAUGACAUGGGAAUGGACAAAAAUACCAUCGUUUUUAUUAUGAUGAAUGAUAAUAUUUCACUCCUUAGUUAGAGAAAGUUCAUAGAUAUGGUCGGGAAUAAUCACAUAUCACAAUUGUUCAUAUCAAAACAACACAAGAUAAUAUUUCAAGCAUUGCCAAGUUUUUUUUAUGAAGACUAUUUUUUUAGACAUUAAUGUUUACGCUAUACACCAUACCAAUUUAUCAUAGCUUAACACACAAUUAUAAAUCGACAUAGGAGGGUCUUAUGUUUGUUUAUUUUCUCGUCCUCCAUUGGUUAAGAAAAAAAAAAGAUUAAUUAAAGGGUUCAAGAUUCAAAUAGACUUACGAGCACGCACAAAAAUAAGUGAAACACUUCAUAACCCAACCAAGGGGACAAUUAUGAAAUAGACAUUCACUACUGUAGUUGCACGUCUUAUCUGUAUAGUAUAGUAAGAUAAUAAUAAAUGAAUGUUACUUCCUUCAAAAAUAAAAAAUAAAAUGAAUAUUACUUAAAUGUAAUGAAAUAUUAUGUAUAACAUAAAGAAGAAAAUGCGAAAAUAAUGCAAGAAUUACUUCGGCCAUUGGUUACAACAAGAAAAAGAGAAAAAAAGA
RNAcentral lists this long non-coding RNA (1185 nucleotides) under Medicago truncatula (barrel medic). RNAcentral's name for it is "lncRNA gene2743". Lineage: Eukaryota; Viridiplantae; Streptophyta; Magnoliopsida; Fabales; Fabaceae. The record is from RNAcentral.